Molecule: ribosomal RNA, 642 nt
Filed under: uncultured bacterium
Lineage: Bacteria
Description: bacterial SSU rRNA
Rfam family: Bacterial small subunit ribosomal RNA
Source: RNAcentral
UCGAAUGCAUUUAGUUGCAUGGCAAACGGGGUAGUAACACGUAGGAACGUACCUUCAAGUCGGGCAUAACCUGGAGAAAUCCAGAAUAAUUCCCGAUAGUCUCGCAAGAGUAAAGAUUUAUCGCUUGAAGAGCGGCCUGCGCAGUAUCAGCUUGUUGGUGUGGUAAUGGCACACCAAGGCUACGACGCUUAGGGGAGGUGAGAGCCUGACCCCCACCAUUGGAACUUAGACACGGUCCAAACUCCUACGGGAGGCUGCAGUCGAGAAUCUUCCGCAAUGUACGAAAGUAUGACGGAGCGAUGCCGCGUGAUGGAUGAAGCACUUCGGUGCGUAAACAUCUUUUAUAGAGGAGGAAGUUUAUUGACGUUACUCUAUGAAUAAGAGGCUCCUAAUCACGUGCCAGCAGGAGCGGUAAUACGUGAGCCUCGAGCGUUACCCGGAUUCACUGGGCGUAAAGGGUGUGUAGGCGGCCUAGUUAGUCGCGCGUUAAAGCCUGGGGCUUAACCCCAGAAUCGCGCGCGAAACGGCUAAGCUAGAGGAUGCGAGAGGUCUGUAGAACUCAUGGUGUAGGGGUGAAAUCCGUUGAUAUCAUGGGGAAUACCAAAAGCGAAGGCAGCAGACUGGCGCAUUUCUGACGCUCAG